AUGGCCCCCAAGGCAGACAAGAAGCCGGCCGCCGAGAGCAAGGUCGAGAAGGCGGCGGAGAAGACCCCGGCGGGCAAGAAGCCCAAGGCCGAGAAGCGGGUGCCGGCGGGCAAGACGGCGGCCAAGGAGGGCGGCGAGGGCAAGACGAGGGGCCGGAAGAAGGGCAGCAAGGCCAAGAAGAGCGUGGAGACGUACAAGAUCUACAUCUUCAAGGUGCUGAAGCAGGUGCACCCGGACGUGGGCAUCUCCUCCAAGGCCAUGUCCAUCAUGAACUCCUUCAUCAACGACAUCUUCGAGAAGCUCGCCGGGGAGUCGGCCAAGCUGGCGCGCUACAACAAGAAGCCCACCAUCACCUCCCGGGAGAUCCAGACCUCCGUCCGCCUCGUCCUCCCCGGCGAGCUCGCCAAGCACGCCGUCUCCGAGGGCACCAAGGCCGUCACCAAGUUCACCUCCUCCUAG
This 459-nucleotide ribosomal RNA is filed under the name Triticum aestivum (bread wheat). Its description in RNAcentral is "partial small subunit ribosomal RNA". Lineage: Eukaryota; Viridiplantae; Streptophyta; Magnoliopsida; Poales; Poaceae. The record is from RNAcentral.